GGAGGAGUAGGGGAUCGAAAGACCUUGCGCUAAAGGAGCGGCUGAUGUCUGAUUAGCUAGUUGGUGGGGUAAAGGCUUACCAAGGCAACGAUCAGUAGCUGGUCUGAGAGGACGACCAGCCACACUGGGACUGAGACACGGCCCAGACUCCUACGGGAGGCAGCAGUGGGGAAUUUUGGACAAUGGGCGAAAGCCUGAUCCAGCCAUGCCGCGUGAGUGAAGAAGGCCUUCGGGUUGUAAAGCUCUUUUAGUCGGAAAGAAAGAGUCAUAGUAAAUAGCUAUGAUUUAUGACGGUACCGACAGAAAAAGCACCGGCUAACUACGUGCCAGCAGCCGCGGUAAUACGUAGGGUGCGAGCGUUAAUCGGAAUUACUGGGCGUAAAGGGUGCGCAGGCGGCCUUGUAAGUCAGAUGUGAAAGCCCCGGGCUUAACCUGGGAAUUGCGUUUGAAACUACAAAGCUAG
Molecule: ribosomal RNA, 463 nt
Filed under: uncultured bacterium
Lineage: Bacteria
Description: bacterial SSU rRNA
Rfam family: Bacterial small subunit ribosomal RNA
Source: RNAcentral